UUGUUGCGCUUUCAAUUGCAAAUAUCUAGCCUUAUCGCUAGGGUGUAAUCUUAUAUGCUUAACUAAACUACCCGUGCCGCUACGAUCUCCAGUAUACCAAUGAACAAGUAAUUUCCCAACAAAUUUACACUUAGCCUUAUCAUGUUCUCUUAGUUGGAUAAAAAAUUGCCAAACUAAUGAUGUUUCUGUACGUUUAUGAGGUUGUCUACUAAAAGUGGGAGUUUGUACGGGUGGGUGUACCGGUUCAUUACCUAAGUUAUGAGCAGGACUAGUAGGUGUAUCAUCUAAAUCUACUGGAGCUUGGGUUUCAUCAUCAUCA
RNAcentral lists this long non-coding RNA (319 nucleotides) under Nicotiana benthamiana. RNAcentral's name for it is "long non-coding RNA (NBEN_LNC016184)". The record is from RNAcentral. Lineage: Eukaryota; Viridiplantae; Streptophyta; Magnoliopsida; Solanales; Solanaceae.